UCACUAAUCAAGCCUGGCUUGCUGUUGGGUCUCUUUGUCGUUCAAACCGACAGGCCCUAAAGAUAACGACGGCGUUAUUUGGACCCUAGAUGCAACGAGCUUUCAUUAGCACGCGUUUAGUCGGACCUUUUAACCCGGUCUUUUUAACCAAUUUUCUUAA
This 160-nucleotide unclassified non-coding RNA is filed under the name uncultured Cladophialophora. RNAcentral describes it as "sequence contains ITS2". The record is from RNAcentral. Lineage: Eukaryota; Fungi; Ascomycota; Eurotiomycetes; Chaetothyriales; Herpotrichiellaceae.